GUUUACUUACGGCUCAGAAAGCCAGUGCGGGCCAGAAGCUGCCUCUAACAGGCACUGGUUGGAAAAGCAAAAGCCGAUAUCAUCUCCACUGUUGAGUUCAACCACACCGGAGAGCUGCUGGCCACAGGCGACAAGGGUGGCCGGGUUGUCAUUUUCCAGCGGGAGCCAGAGAGUAAAAAUGCGCCUCACAGCCAGGGCGAGUAUGAUGUCUACAGCACCUUCCAGAGCCACGAGCCGGAGUUCGAUUACCUCAAGAGUCUGGAGAUAGAGGAGAAAAUCAACAAGAUCAAGUGGCUUCCACAGCAGAAUGCAGCCCACUCCCUGCUGUCCACCAAUG
Non-coding RNA from Leptonychotes weddellii (Weddell seal), 337 nucleotides. The record is from RefSeq and is a predicted model, not a curated record. Lineage: Eukaryota; Metazoa; Chordata; Mammalia; Carnivora; Phocidae.